Molecule: ribosomal RNA, 2606 nt
Filed under: Staphylococcus aureus
Lineage: Bacteria; Bacillati; Bacillota; Bacilli; Caryophanales; Staphylococcaceae
Description: partial 23S ribosomal RNA
Rfam family: Bacterial large subunit ribosomal RNA
Source: RNAcentral
UUGUAGGACACUCUAUACGGAGUUACAAAGGACGACAUUAGACGAAUCAUCUGGAAAGAUGAAUCAAAGAAGGUAAUAAUCCUGUAGUCGAAAAUGUUGUCUCUCUUGAGUGGAUCCUGAGUACGACGGAGCACGUGAAAUUCCGUCGGAAUCUGGGAGGACCAUCUCCUAAGGCUAAAUACUCUCUAGUGACCGAUAGUGAACCAGUACCGUGAGGGAAAGGUGAAAAGCACCCCGGAAGGGGAGUGAAAUAGAACCUGAAACCGUGUGCUUACAAGUAGUCAGAGCCCGUUAAUGGGUGAUGGCGUGCCUUUUGUAGAAUGAACCGGCGAGUUACGAUUUGAUGCAAGGUUAAGCAGUAAAUGUGGAGCCGUAGCGAAAGCGAGUCUGAAUAGGGCGUUUAGUAUUUGGUCGUAGACCCGAAACCAGGUGAUCUACCCUUGGUCAGGUUGAAGUUCAGGUAACACUGAAUGGAGGACCGAACCGACUUACGUUGAAAAGUGAGCGGAUGAACUGAGGGUAGCGGAGAAAUUCCAAUCGAACCUGGAGAUAGCUGGUUCUCUCCGAAAUAGCUUUAGGGCUAGCCUCAAGUGAUGAUUAUUGGAGGUAGAGCACUGUUUGGACGAGGGGCCCCUCUCGGGUUACCGAAUUCAGACAAACUCCGAAUGCCAAUUAAUUUAACUUGGGAGUCAGAACAUGGGUGAUAAGGUCCGUGUUCGAAAGGGAAACAGCCCAGACCACCAGCUAAGGUCCCAAAAUAUAUGUUAAGUGGAAAAGGAUGUGGCGUUGCCCAGACAACUAGGAUGUUGGCUUAGAAGCAGCCAUCAUUUAAAGAGUGCGUAAUAGCUCACUAGUCGAGUGACACUGCGCCGAAAAUGUACCGGGGCUAAACAUAUUACCGAAGCUGUGGAUUGUCCUUUGGACAAUGGUAGGAGAGCGUUCUAAGGGCGUUGAAGCAUGAUCGUAAGGACAUGUGGAGCGCUUAGAAGUGAGAAUGCCGGUGUGAGUAGCGAAAGACGGGUGAGAAUCCCGUCCACCGAUUGACUAAGGUUUCCAGAGGAAGGCUCGUCCGCUCUGGGUUAGUCGGGUCCUAAGCUGAGGCCGACAGGCGUAGGCGAUGGAUAACAGGUUGAUAUUCCUGUACCACCUAUAAUCGUUUUAAUCGAUGGGGGGACGCAGUAGGAUAGGCGAAGCGUGCGAUUGGAUUGCACGUCUAAGCAGUAAGGCUGAGUAUUAGGCAAAUCCGGUACUCAUUAAGGCUGAGCUGUGAUGGGGAGAAGACAUUGUGUCUUCGAGUCGUUGAUUUCACACUGCCGAGAAAAGCCUCUAGAUAGAAAAUAGGUGCCCGUACCGCAAACCGACACAGGUAGUCAAGAUGAGAAUUCUAAGGUGAGCGAGCGAACUCUCGUUAAGGAACUCGGCAAAAUGACCCCGUAACUUCGGGAGAAGGGGUGCUCUUUAGGGUUAACGCCCAGAAGAGCCGCAGUGAAUAGGCCCAAGCGACUGUUUAUCAAAAACACAGGUCUCUGCUAAACCGUAAGGUGAUGUAUAGGGGCUGACGCCUGCCCGGUGCUGGAAGGUUAAGAGGAGUGGUUAGCUUCUGCGAAGCUACGAAUCGAAGCCCCAGUAAACGGCGGCCGUAACUAUAACGGUCCUAAGGUAGCGAAAUUCCUUGUCGGGUAAGUUCCGACCCGCACGAAAGGCGUAACGAUUUGGGCACUGUCUCAACGAGAGACUCGGUGAAAUCAUAGUACCUGUGAAGAUGCAGGUUACCCGCGACAGGACGGAAAGACCCCGUGGAGCUUUACUGUAGCCUGAUAUUGAAAUUCGGCACAGCUUGUACAGGAUAGGUAGGAGCCUUUGAAACGUGAGCGCUAGCUUACGUGGAGGCGCUGGUGGGAUACUACCCUAGCUGUGUUGGCUUUCUAACCCGCACCACUUAUCGUGGUGGGAGACAGUGUCAGGCGGGCAGUUUGACUGGGGCGGUCGCCUCCUAAAAGGUAACGGAGGCGCUCAAAGGUUCCCUCAGAAUGGUUGGAAAUCAUUCAUAGAGUGUAAAGGCAUAAGGGAGCUUGACUGCGAGACCUACAAGUCGAGCAGGGUCGAAAGACGGACUUAGUGAUCCGGUGGUUCCGCAUGGAAGGGCCAUCGCUCAACGGAUAAAAGCUACCCCGGGGAUAACAGGCUUAUCUCCCCCAAGAGUUCACAUCGACGGGGAGGUUUGGCACCUCGAUGUCGGCUCAUCGCAUCCUGGGGCUGUAGUCGGUCCCAAGGGUUGGGCUGUUCGCCCAUUAAAGCGGUACGCGAGCUGGGUUCAGAACGUCGUGAGACAGUUCGGUCCCUAUCCGUCGUGGGCGUAGGAAAUUUGAGAGGAGCUGUCCUUAGUACGAGAGGACCGGGAUGGACAUACCUCUGGUGUACCAGUUGUCGUGCCAACGGCAUAGCUGGGUAGCUAUGUGUGGACGGGAUAAGUGCUGAAAGCAUCUAAGCAUGAAGCCCCCCUCAAGAUGAGAUUUCCCAACUUCGGUUAUAAGAUCCCUCAAAGAUGAUGAGGUUAAUAGGUUCGAGGUGGAAGCAUGGUGACAUGUGGAGCUGACGAAUACUAA